Molecule: ribosomal RNA, 468 nt
Filed under: uncultured bacterium
Lineage: Bacteria
Description: partial 16S ribosomal RNA
Rfam family: Bacterial small subunit ribosomal RNA
Source: RNAcentral
GACGAACGCUGGCGGCGUGCUUAAUACAUGCAAGUCGAACGGAAAGGCCCUGCUUUUGCGGGGUGCUCGAGUGGCGAACGGGUGAGUAACACGUGAGUAACCUGCCCUUGACUUUGGGAUAACUUCAGGAAACUGGGGCUCAUAUCGGAUAGGAGCUCCUGCUGCAUGGUGGGGGUUGGUAAGAUUCGGCGGUUGGGGAUGGACUCGCGGCUUAUCAGCUUGUUGGUGGGGUAGUGGCUUACCAAGGUUUUGACGGCUAGCCGGCCUGAGAGGGUGACCGGCCACAUUGGGACUGAGAUACGGCCCAGACUCCUACGGGAGGCAGCAGUGGGGAAUAUUGCACAAUGGGCGGAAGCCUGAUGCAGCAACGCCGCGUGCGUGAUGACGGCCUUCGGGUGAUAAACCGCUUUCGCCUGUGACGAAGCGUGAGUGACGGUAAUGGGUAAAGAAGCACCGGCUAACUACGUG